AGCACCAACACUGUUCAAAGAUUAGCACCAAGCAACCCUUAAUUUUUUUUUUUCCUACCAGCUUUCUUACUCUUAACUCUGUCCAUUUGUGGUCAGACUGUUUGGGCUCACCCAGGUCUCAGAGCUGACCUUGUCAACAUGUGUCCUCCAGCUGCUGAGGCCCUGCACUGAGAAGAACCUCGCUUGGUCACUGAUGACUGAGUGGAAUACCACGGCAGCAGGGUUUCAGUUUAGGACUAAAGCCAGUGUGUCCGCGGGUGCUGGAACCUGAGAUGUCCCCUCUCUCCGGUCUGCAAAUGCAUUCUGUCAUUGAUUUGUUUUAUUGAUGUUUGUCUUGUGUUACAGUCUGACAGAAAAUUUGGAAAUGCUCACGGCUUCAAAAUAUUUUGUUGUAGCCUGCACAACUUUAUUUGGUUAAGGAAAAGUGUUUUUUUUUCUUCUUAAUCUUUCUUUCUUUUCUUUCUCAUUACAAAUCUUCAACAGCUUUGUUGUAUAGAUGAAAUAUACUGUCUUCACACGAGAAAUACGUGUAACCAUAUUUAUAACAGAAUAGGGUAGAAGAUAACAAAUAACAGCAAAGGAGUUGCAUUUUUCUAUUUAUUGAGCGGUACCAGAUCACAGAUUUUUUUUAACAGUAGCUACUUUGAUGAAAAAAUAAAUUGUUUUCACUUGUUUUUUAUUCUAUUGAAUCACACUGUAACUACAUUUUCUUCCUGGCUGCUAUUAUAAUGAGAAAGAUGUGUUUAAAAAAAAAAGAAGUGAAUUUCUGUGUCGUAUUACUAUUGGCUUAAGGCUGCUAUACUGUCGAUUUAACUUUUAAUUAACAGCUGAAACUGCCAGAGAUUUACAGUAUAGUACUUUAGAGCUGGAAACCAAAGUUAACAUGCAUUAAUCUUUAAUUUAAAACAUAACAAAACAAAAAAAAAGUAGCUUAAGGAGGAUACACGUCGCUUCACUUCACUGAGUCUAUUCAGUGAGGUUUUCUGAUCUCUCUGUGGGGGGUUUGUCUAGUCUACCUGUACUAUAUCACCUUAACUUUUGUCAGCUUUGUGCUCCAAUGAUAACAACAGCAAUAUACUGUAAUUUUUAUAUUUUCUGUGCAUAAUAUCUGAAUGUAGAUGCCAUGGUUGCUACUGUUUAAUGUCUAUAAUCACAAACCUGUAGCACUUAAAAAGGUGAAUUGUGUUUCUGUUGUUUACUGCUAUAUCCACAAUAAGCUAGUGGGAUCAUAUUGUUCCUAAUAAACCAGAUUUCUCAAGCAGCUGCA
Molecule: long non-coding RNA, 1267 nt
Organism: Etheostoma spectabile (orangethroat darter)
Lineage: Eukaryota; Metazoa; Chordata; Actinopteri; Perciformes; Percidae
Exons: 2
Source: RefSeq, a predicted model, not a curated record